This 28-nucleotide unclassified non-coding RNA is filed under the name Mus musculus (house mouse). RNAcentral describes it as "oocyte_clustered_small_RNA6984". The record is from RNAcentral. Lineage: Eukaryota; Metazoa; Chordata; Mammalia; Rodentia; Muridae.
CUAACAUUUUACUAAACACCAGCAGCCU